This 460-nucleotide ribosomal RNA is filed under the name uncultured bacterium. Its description in RNAcentral is "partial 16S ribosomal RNA". It matches the Rfam family "Bacterial small subunit ribosomal RNA", at positions 338 to 795 of the family's 1533-position model. The record is from RNAcentral.
CCUACGGGCGGCAGCAGUGAGGAAUAUUGGUCAAUGGGCGCGAGCCUGAACCAGCCAAGUAGCGUGAAGGAUGACUGCCCUACGGGUUGUAAACUUCUUUUAUAAAGGAAUAAAGUGAGGCACGUGUGCCUUUUUGUAUGUACUUUAUGAAUAAGGAUCGGCUAACUCCGUGCCAGCAGCCGCGGUAAUACGGAGGAUCCGAGCGUUAUCCGGAUUUAUUGGGUUUAAAGGGUGCGUAGGCGGCCUUUUAAGUCAGCGGUGAAAGUCUGUGGCUCAACCAUAGAAUUGCCGUUGAAACUGGGGGGCUUGAGUAUGUUUGAGGCAGGCGGAAUGCGUGGUGUAGCGGUGAAAUGCUUAGAUAUCACGCAGAACCCCGAUUGCGAAGGCAGCUUACUAAACUGCCACUGACAUUGAUGCUCGAAAGUGUGGGUAUCAAACAGGAUUAGAUACCCGAGUAGUC